AUGAUAGCCAAAUCUAUUGAUGAUGCCAUGCAGCUUUCACAUAGCUAUGGGUUUCAGCAGAGGGAUUUUGGACAUACUGUUAUUCUUUUUGUUUUAAGCAUUAUCAGAAUAUUGACUGAUUGUAUUUUGGAAGAUUGGGGCACUCCAAGUAUCUCUAAUAAGGAACAUGACAAUAUUUGUGCCAUUGGAGUAAACACGCAUAGGGAUUUAGAUGGCAAGGGGAGUCCGCUUGACAUGAGAGAUAAGCACCGUGAACAACUAUGGAGGAAGAAUAAACUCAUGACUUUAGAAGUUGUUGAGCAGAUCACUGCUAACAAAAAUGCCCAAGGUAGACCUGAAAAUUUCAAAAGUUUGCUUCAGAGAGUUCAACUUACUGUUGCCCUUAAAUCAAAGAAUUUUGCAUCCGCAAAUACUCUGCUAGAUAACUUGAUGAUACAUAUACAGAAGGUUAGAAGCACAUGUUAUCAGUUAGGCAGGAGUAAGCUAUUGAGAGUUAUUGUUAGUACACGACCUUUCAGUUCAACAACAUGCAAUAUGUUUGGAGCUGGAAAGGGCUCUUGUUGGAUUCCUUUUGACUUGUUUAUGGAGAGUGCAAUGGAUGGUAGACAUCUUCGUGCCAUAUCAUCGAUCGAAGCUCUAACAGGUGGUUAA
RNAcentral lists this ribosomal RNA (651 nucleotides) under Triticum aestivum (bread wheat). Its description in RNAcentral is "partial small subunit ribosomal RNA". The record is from RNAcentral. Lineage: Eukaryota; Viridiplantae; Streptophyta; Magnoliopsida; Poales; Poaceae.